GGGAGGGAGGGAGGGAGGGAGAUGAGGGUUGAGGAGACAGUGGGUUUUGUAUGGGUCCUCUCUCCUGAAUGCGGAGUCCCUUUUCAGUGAAAUUCAAAUCAAGCAUCCAGUGUUACUGAGGGGUAGAGGCCAAAGUCCUCACACAAAACCAACCAUUCAUAGUUAGCGUCAUACAGUCAAAAAGUUAAACAUACACAACAAUACCUACAAUAACUAAAUCUCUCUUAGGGACAAACGACCCAAACACCAUGAACAAAUGUAACCACGUUGUAAUCGCUAUAAAUAUUGAACUGUAGAGAUACUUUCUUCACCAGUGACGUCACAUUAAGCUGGACAGGUAUUCUUAUCCUGGACAGGUAUUCUUAUCCUGGACAGGUAUUCUUAUCCUGGGCAGGUAUUCUUAUCCUGGACAGGUAUUCUUAUCCUGGACAGGUAUUCUUAUCCUGGACAGGUAUUCUUAUCCUGGACAGGUAUUCUUAUCCUGGACAGGUAUUCUUAUCCUGGACAGGUAUUCUUAUCCUGGACAGGUAUUCUUAUCCUGGACAGGUAUUCUUAUCCUGGACAGGUAUUCUUAUCCUGGACAGGUAUUCUUAUCCUGGACAGUUAUUCUUAUCCUGGACAGUUAUUCUUAUCCUGGACAGUUAUUCUUAUCCUGGACAGUUAUUCUUAUCCUGGACAGGUAUUCUUAUCCUGGACAGGUAUUCUUAUCCUGGACAGUUAUUCUUAUCCUGGACAGUUAUUCUUAUCCUGGACAGUUAUUCUUAUCCUGGACAGUUAUUCUUAU
Molecule: long non-coding RNA, 784 nt
Organism: Oncorhynchus keta (chum salmon)
Lineage: Eukaryota; Metazoa; Chordata; Actinopteri; Salmoniformes; Salmonidae
Exons: 3
Source: RefSeq, a predicted model, not a curated record